Molecule: long non-coding RNA, 374 nt
Organism: Hyposmocoma kahamanoa
Lineage: Eukaryota; Metazoa; Arthropoda; Insecta; Lepidoptera; Cosmopterigidae
Exons: 3
Source: RefSeq, a predicted model, not a curated record
GGUUAGAAAUUUUCAAUUACAAGCCACUUUUCCUGUAAAAGCACCUGGAAUUUUCAUUUAUGCCGAUAGAUCCUUGCAAGAGGUUUGCAUGUGAUAUUCAGAAAUGUCUUCAGGGGUCCAAAAUGCCUUUAUUCAAGGUUCAGUUCACUACUUGAAGAUCACGAAUAAUUAAGAAAUAUUGCCACACACAUUUCCAGUACAAACGGAAUCAUGCAAUCCUGUAAUGUCAGAUUUGCAAUUAUGAGAAAACGAUUAUCAAGAAGCUCGUUGUGAGGCAGUAUUUGAAUCUAUGCGUCGGUGUUGCCUGAUCCACAAGCCAACAGGUCGCUCACUCGUCUGCUCAGGAUACAACCUCGAGCCCUGGACUCCCAACC